This 265-nucleotide ribosomal RNA is filed under the name uncultured archaeon. RNAcentral's name for it is "partial 16S ribosomal RNA". It matches the Rfam family "Archaeal small subunit ribosomal RNA", at positions 717 to 982 of the family's 1478-position model. The record is from RNAcentral.
AGACGUCUACAUUAGAUACCCGUGUAGUCCCAGCCGUAAACUAUGCGCGUUAGGUGUAUCGGUGACCACGAGUCACCGAGGUGCCGAAGGGAAACCGUGAAACGUGCCGCCUGGGAAGUACGGUCGCAAGGCUGAAACGUUAAAGGAAUUGGCGGGGAGCACCACAACGGGUGGAGCCUGCGGUUUAAUUGGACUCAACGCCGGGAAGCUCACCGGAUAAGACAGCGGAAUGAUUGCCGGGCUGAAGACUCUGCAUGACUAGCUG